This 53-nucleotide transfer RNA is filed under the name Poteriostomum imparidentatum. RNAcentral's name for it is "tRNA-Ser". The record is from RNAcentral. Lineage: Eukaryota; Metazoa; Nematoda; Chromadorea; Rhabditida; Strongylidae.
AAACUAUUAAGUUUUGUUUUGAAAACAAAAGUAAAGAAUUGUUUCUUGUAGUU